GAUGAAGAACGUAGCUAAAUGCGAUAAGUAAUGCGAAUUGCAGAAUUUCCGUGAGUCAUCGAAUCUUUGAACGCACAUUGCGCCCACUGGUAUUCCGGUGGGCAUGCCUGUUCGAGCGUCAUUAUCCUCCCUCAAACCCCGGGUUUGGUGUUGGACCCAAGUUGUGUGAACAACUGGUCUUAAAGACAAUGACGGCGUCCGUGGGACCCUCGGUGCAACGAGCUUUUAGGAGCACGCAUCGAGUUGCAAGGACCUUCCGGGCCGGUCUCCUUUACUAUUUUACAAGGUUGACCUCGGAUCAGGUAGGAAUACCCGCUGAACUUAAGCAUAUCAAUAAGCGGAGGA
This 345-nucleotide unclassified non-coding RNA is filed under the name soil metagenome. RNAcentral describes it as "partial contains 5.8S ribosomal RNA, internal transcribed spacer 2, and large subunit ribosomal RNA". The stretch from base 1 to 121 matches the Rfam family "5.8S ribosomal RNA", at positions 35 to 154 of the family's 154-position model. The record is from RNAcentral.